Molecule: unclassified non-coding RNA, 279 nt
Filed under: plant metagenome
Description: partial contains small subunit ribosomal RNA, internal transcribed spacer 1, and 5.8S ribosomal RNA
Source: RNAcentral
UUUCCGUAGGUGAACCUGCGGAAGGAUCAUUAUUGUAUAACAGAGGUGAUAGGCCUGUCGCUGACCCGAAAGGUGGUGCACGCCCGAGUGCCCUCACACACCUCCCUCUCACCCCUAAGUGCACCACCGCUUGGAUCCCCCUGUGGCUUCUUCGGGUGGGAACUGACGUGUUAACACAUUCUUUAUAUGCAGUGUAGACUGUAUUUUUUGUUUUUACGACAACGCAAUCAAUACAACUUUCAACAACGGCUCUCUUCGCUCUCGCAUCGCUGAAGAACG